AGUCGUACGCUUCUUUUUCCACCGGAGCUUGCUCCACCGGAAAAAGAAGAGUGGCGAACGGGUGAGUAACACGUGGGUAACCUGCCCAUCAGAAGGGGAUAACACUUGGAAACAGGUGCUAAUACCGUAUAACAAUCGAAACCGCAUGGUUUUGAUUUGAAAGGCGCUUUCGGGUGUCGCUGAUGGAUGGACCCGCGGUGCAUUAGCUAGUUGGUGAGGUAACGGCUCACCAAGGCCACGAUGCAUAGCCGACCUGAGAGGGUGAUCGGCCACAUUGGGACUGAGACACGGCCCAAACUCCUACGGGAGGCAGCAGUAGGGAAUCUUCGGCAAUGGACGAAAGUCUGACCGAGCAACGCCGCGUGAGUGAAGAAGGUUUUCGGAUCGUAAAACUCUGUUGUUAGAGAAGAACAAGGAUGAGAGUAACUGUUCAUCCCUUGACGGUAUCUAACCAGAAAGCCACGGCUAACUACGUGCCAGCAGCCGCGGUAAUACGUAGGUGGCAAGCGUUGUCCGGAUUUAUUGGGCGUAAAGCGAGCGCAGGCGGUUUCUUAAGUCUGAUGUGAAAGCCCCCGGCUCAACCGGGGAGGGUCAUUGGAAACUGGGAGACUUGAGUGCAGAAGAGGAGAGUGGAAUUCCAUGUGUAGCGGUGAAAUGCGUAGAUAUAUGGAGGAACACCAGUGGCGAAGGCGGCUCUCUGGUCUGUAACUGACGCUGAGGCUCGAAAGCGUGGGGAGCAAACAGGAUUAGAUACCCUGGUAGUCCACGCCGUAAACGAUGAGUGCUAAGUGUUGGAGGGUUUCCGCCCUUCAGUGCUGCAGCUAACGCAUUAAGCACUCCGCCUGGGGAGUACGACCGCAAGGUUGAAACUCAAAGGAAUUGACGGGGGCCCGCACAAGCGGUGGAGCAUGUGGUUUAAUUCGAAGCAACGCGAAGAACCUUACCAGGUCUUGACAUCCUUUGACCACUCUAGAGAUAGAGCUUCCCCUUCGGGGGCAAAGUGACAGGUGGUGCAUGGUUGUCGUCAGCUCGUGUCGUGAGAUGUUGGGUUAAGUCCCGCAACGAGCGCAACCCUUAUUGUUAGUUGCCAUCAUUUAGUUGGGCACUCUAGCAAGACUGCCGGUGACAAACCGGAGGAAGGUGGGGAUGACGUCAAAUCAUCAUGCCCCUUAUGACCUGGGCUACACACGUGCUACAAUGGGAAGUACAACGAGUCGCGAAGUCGCGAGGCUAAGCUAAUCUCUUAAAGCUUCUCUCAGUUCGGAUUGUAGGCUGCAACUCGCCUACAUGAAGCCGGAAUCGCUAGUAAUCGCGGAUCAGCACGCCGCGGUGAAUACGUUCCCGGGCCUUGUACACACCGCCCGUCACACCACGAGAGUUUGUAACACCCGAAGUCGGUGAGGUAACC
This 1408-nucleotide ribosomal RNA is filed under the name Enterococcus sp. RNAcentral describes it as "bacterial SSU rRNA". It matches the Rfam family "Bacterial small subunit ribosomal RNA". The record is from RNAcentral. Lineage: Bacteria; Bacillati; Bacillota; Bacilli; Lactobacillales; Enterococcaceae.